UAAGACUAUACUUUCAGGGAUCAUUUCUAUAGU
This 33-nucleotide microRNA is filed under the name Canis lupus familiaris (dog). RNAcentral's name for it is "miRNA (ENSCAFG00000056176.1, ENSCAFG00000059395.1, ENSCAFG00845003435.1)". It matches the Rfam family "Small nucleolar RNA U3", at positions 1 to 32 of the family's 219-position model. Rfam says of the family: Small nucleolar RNAs (snoRNAs) are involved in the processing and modification of rRNA in the nucleolus. There are two main classes of snoRNAs: the box C/D class, and the box H/ACA class. RNAcentral also lists the same sequence under 1 other name. Lineage: Eukaryota; Metazoa; Chordata; Mammalia; Carnivora; Canidae. The record is from RNAcentral.